GAUGAACGCUGGCGGCGUGCCUAAUACAUGCAAGUCGAGCGAACGGACGAGAAGCUCGCUUCUCUGAUGUUAGCGGCGGACGGGUGAGUAACACGUGGAUAACCUACCUAUAAGACUGGGAUAACUUCGGGAAACCGGAGCUAAUACCGGAUAAUAUUUUGAACCGCAUGGUUCAAAAGUGAAAGAGGGUCUUGCUGUCACUUAUAGAUGUAUCCGCGCUGCAUUAGCUAGUUGGUAAGGUAACGGCUUACCAAGGCAACGAUGCAUAGCCGACCCGAGAGGGUGUACGCCCACUCUGGAGCUGAGACACGGUCCAGACUCCUACGGGAGGCCGCGGUAGGUACUCUUCCGCGAUGGGCGAAAGCCUGCCGGAGCAACGCCGCGUGGGUGAUGAAGGUCUGCGGAUCGUAAAACGCUGUUAGUAGGGAAGAACACAUGUGUAAGUAACUGUGCACAUCGUGACGGUACCUAAACAGAAAGCCACGGCUAACUACGUG
RNAcentral lists this ribosomal RNA (497 nucleotides) under uncultured bacterium. Its description in RNAcentral is "partial 16S ribosomal RNA". It matches the Rfam family "Bacterial small subunit ribosomal RNA", at positions 28 to 507 of the family's 1533-position model. The record is from RNAcentral.